UACGUAGGGUGCGAGCGUUGUCCGGAAUUAUUGGGCGUAAAGGGCUCGUAGGCGGUCUGUUGCGUCGGGAGUGAAAACUCAGGGCUUAACCCUGAGCCUGCUUCCGAUACGGGCAGACUAGAGGUAUGCAGGGGAGAACGGAAUUCCUGGUGUAGCGGUGAAAUGCGCAGAUAUCAGGAGGAACACCGGUGGCGAAGGCGGUUCUCUGGGCAUUACCUGACGCUGAGGAGCGAAAGUGUGGGGAGCGAAC
RNAcentral lists this ribosomal RNA (250 nucleotides) under uncultured bacterium. RNAcentral's name for it is "partial 16S ribosomal RNA". It matches the Rfam family "Bacterial small subunit ribosomal RNA", at positions 524 to 773 of the family's 1533-position model. The record is from RNAcentral.